This 349-nucleotide unclassified non-coding RNA is filed under the name uncultured Bordetella sp. RNAcentral describes it as "partial 16S-23S ribosomal RNA intergenic spacer". It matches the Rfam family "Bacterial small subunit ribosomal RNA", at positions 10 to 359 of the family's 1533-position model. The record is from RNAcentral. Lineage: Bacteria; Pseudomonadati; Pseudomonadota; Betaproteobacteria; Burkholderiales; Alcaligenaceae.
GGUUCGAUUAUGGCUCAGAUUGAACGCUGGCGGGAUGUGCUUUACGCCCAAGUCGAACGGCGGCACGGACUUCGGUCUGGUGGCGAGUGGCAGACGGGUGAGUAAUGUAUCGGAACGUGCACUAGUAGCGGGGGAUAACUACGCGAAAGCGUAGCUAAUACCGCAUACGCCCUUCGGGGAAAGCGGGGGACCUUCGGGCCUCGCACUAUUAGAGCGGCCGAUAUCGAGUUAGCUAGUUGGUGCAGGGUAACGGCUCACCAAGGCGACGAUCCGUAGCUGGUUUGAGAGGACGACCAGCCACACUGGGACUGAGACACGGCCCAGACUCCUACGGGAGGCGGCAGUGAAA